UGAAGCUAAGAUUUAAAAACUGGGAGAUGUAAGGUCUCAUCUCACCAUUGGAACUGAACGAUGAUCUGGAGUUCAGACUCUCUAGCUGGAGUUGUUGAGAAGAAGGAUCCACAUUGUGCUGAACAGCAAAGGAUGUAACUAAAGGAGUCAGCAAAAGGAAAGGAACAAGUCAAGAACGAAGACCAGAGGACAGAUAAUCCUGGGUUAUAAAAGAAAACAGGCUGAGCAAGCCAUGUCAGUAUACAGCACCCUUCCACAGUUCCAUUUCAGUUCCUGCCUCCAGGUUCCUGCCUUGGCUUUCCUUGGUGGACUAUCACCCAGAUUAUGUGAGCCAAAUAAACCUUUACUUCAUAAGUUGC
Non-coding RNA from Rattus norvegicus (Norway rat), 359 nucleotides. NCBI's taxonomy places the organism in Eukaryota, Metazoa, Chordata, Mammalia, Rodentia, Muridae. The record is from RefSeq and is a predicted model, not a curated record.